RNAcentral lists this ribosomal RNA (495 nucleotides) under uncultured bacterium. Its description in RNAcentral is "partial 16S ribosomal RNA". It matches the Rfam family "Bacterial small subunit ribosomal RNA", at positions 28 to 507 of the family's 1533-position model. The record is from RNAcentral.
GAUGAACGCUGGCGGCGUGCCUAAUACAUGCAAGUAGAACGCUGAAGGAGGAGCUUGCUCUUCUGGAUGAGUUGCGAACGGGUGAGUAACGCGUAGGUAACCUGCCUGGUAGCGGGGGAUAACUAUUGGAAACGAUAGCUAAUACCGCAUGACAACAGUUAUUGCAUGAUAACUGUUUAAAAGGGGCAACUGCUCCACUACCAGAUGGACCUGCGUUGUAUUAGCUAGUUGGUGAGGUAACGGCUCACCAAGGCGACGAUACAUAGCCGACCUGAGAGGGUGAUCGGCCACACUGGGACUGAGACACGGCCCAGACUCCUACGGGAGGCAGCAGUAGGGAAUCUUCGGCAAUGGACGGAAGUCUGACCGAGCAACGCCGCGUGAGUGAAGAAGGUUGUCGGAUCGUAAAGCUCGGUUGUAAGAGAAGAACGAGUGUGAGAGUGGAAAGUUCACACUGUGACGGUAUCUUACCAGAAAGGGACGGCUAACUACGUG